GAUGAACGCUGGCGGCGUGCCUAACACAUGCAAGUCGAGCGAACGGACGAUGAUCUUGUUUCGCUGAUGUUAGCGGCGGGCGGGUGUGUAACGCGUGUAUAACCCACCUAUAAGUCGGGGAUAACUACGGGAAACCGGAUCUAACACCGGAGAAUAUUUUGCACCGCGUUGGUCAAAAGUAAGAUACGGUGUUUCUGUCUCGUAUAGAUGGAUCCGCGCUGCUUUAGGUAGUUGGUGAGGUAACGGCUUACCAAGGCGACGAUGCAUAGGCGACGGGAGAGGGUGAUAGGCGACACGAGAAGUGAAACACGGUCCAUGCUACUACGGGAGGGAGCAGUAGGGUAUGUUACGCAGAGGGCGGAAGCCUGGCGGAGCAGCGCCGAGUGAGUGAUGAAGGUCUUGCGAUCGUAAAACUCUGUUACUGGGUAAGAACAUAUGUGUCAGUAACUGUGGAGAUCGUGACGGUACCUAAUCAGAAAGCAACGGCUAACUACGUG
This 497-nucleotide ribosomal RNA is filed under the name uncultured bacterium. RNAcentral describes it as "partial 16S ribosomal RNA". It matches the Rfam family "Bacterial small subunit ribosomal RNA", at positions 28 to 507 of the family's 1533-position model. The record is from RNAcentral.